CUUGCUGGGGUACACGAGUGGCGAACGGGUGAGUAACACGUGGGUGACCUGCCCUGCACUUCGGGAUAAGCCUGGGAAACUGGGUCUAAUACCGGAUAGGACCGCACCGUGAGGGUGUGGUGGAAAGUUUUUUCGGUGUGGGAUGGGCCCGCGGCCUAUCAGCUUGUUGGUGGGGUAAUGGCCUACCAAGGCGGCGACGGGUAGCCGGCCUGAGAGGGUGGACGGCCACAUUGGGACUGAGGCACGGCCCAG
RNAcentral lists this ribosomal RNA (252 nucleotides) under uncultured Actinomycetales bacterium. Its description in RNAcentral is "partial 16S ribosomal RNA". It matches the Rfam family "Bacterial small subunit ribosomal RNA", at positions 77 to 334 of the family's 1533-position model. The record is from RNAcentral. Lineage: Bacteria; Bacillati; Actinomycetota; Actinomycetes; Actinomycetales.